UGCCGGGGGAUAACUCGGAGGAAGGUGGGGAUGACGUCAAAUCAUCAUGCCCUUAUGAUUUGGGCUACACACGUGCUACAAUGGCGGAUACAAAGAGAAGCGAAGGGGCGACCUGGAGCAAACCUCAUAAAGUCCGUCCCAGUUCGGAUUGUAGUCUGCAACUCGACUACAUGAAGUUGGAAUCGCUAGUAAUCGCGAAUCAGAAUGUCGCGGUGAAUACGUUCUCGGGCCUU
RNAcentral lists this ribosomal RNA (233 nucleotides) under uncultured Lachnospiraceae bacterium. RNAcentral's name for it is "partial 16S ribosomal RNA". It matches the Rfam family "Bacterial small subunit ribosomal RNA", at positions 1150 to 1382 of the family's 1533-position model. The record is from RNAcentral. Lineage: Bacteria; Bacillati; Bacillota; Clostridia; Lachnospirales; Lachnospiraceae.